RNAcentral lists this ribosomal RNA (305 nucleotides) under uncultured bacterium. Its description in RNAcentral is "partial 16S ribosomal RNA". It matches the Rfam family "Bacterial small subunit ribosomal RNA", at positions 505 to 808 of the family's 1533-position model. The record is from RNAcentral.
ACAGCAGCAGCCGCGGUAAUACAGAGGGUGCGAGCGUUAAUCGGAUUUACUGGGCGUAAAGCGUGCGUAGGCGGCUUCUUAAGUCGGAUGUGAAAUCCCUGAGCUUAACUUAGGAAUUGCAUUCGAUACUGGGAAGCUAGAGUAUGGGAGAGGAUGGUAGAAUUCCAGGUGUAGCGGUGAAAUGCGUAGAGAUCUGGAGGAAUACCGAUGGCGAAGGCAGCCAUCUGGCCUAAUACUGACGCUGAGGUACGAAAGCAUGGGGAGCAAACAGGAUUAGAUACCCUGUAGUCCCUGUCUCUUAUACA